AUACGGAGGGUGCAAGCGUUAUUCGGAAUCACUGGGCGUAAAGGACGCGUAGGCGGGUUGGCAAGUCAGAUGUGAAAUCCUACAGCUUAACUGUAGAACUGCAUUUGAAACUGCUAACCUAGAGUAUGGGAGGGGGAGAUGGAAUUAGUGGUGUAGGGGUAAAAUUCGUAGAUAUCACUAGGAAUACCGAAAGCGAAGGCGAUCUCCUGGAACAUAACUGACGCUAAGGCGUGAAAGCGUGGGGAGCAAACAGGAUUAGAAACCCUAGUAGUCC
RNAcentral lists this ribosomal RNA (274 nucleotides) under uncultured bacterium. RNAcentral describes it as "partial 16S ribosomal RNA". It matches the Rfam family "Bacterial small subunit ribosomal RNA", at positions 523 to 796 of the family's 1533-position model. The record is from RNAcentral.